RNAcentral lists this transfer RNA (92 nucleotides) under Burkholderia ubonensis. Its description in RNAcentral is "tRNA-Asp". Lineage: Bacteria; Pseudomonadati; Pseudomonadota; Betaproteobacteria; Burkholderiales; Burkholderiaceae. The record is from RNAcentral.
GCAGCGGAUGGCGUGCGGGAUGGGCGUGUGCCUGUCGUGCGUGCGGAUGUUCGACGACGGCGAAACCCGCGCGUUCCGGCGUGUGUGCCGCG